GAAGUACUCGGUUAUAUUAGAAUUUCAGAUAAACAACAGAUACAUUUUUUAGUAGAAGUAUAUCCCAUGAAAUAUUUGGGAUAUACUUAUACUAAAAAUGUUCAUUAUUUAUCUCAAAUUCUAAUUUAACUGGGCAUC
This 138-nucleotide microRNA precursor is filed under the name Tursiops truncatus (common bottlenose dolphin). RNAcentral describes it as "miRNA (ENSTTRG00000025211.1)". The stretch from base 46 to 97 matches the Rfam family "mir-1302 microRNA precursor family". The record is from RNAcentral. Lineage: Eukaryota; Metazoa; Chordata; Mammalia; Artiodactyla; Delphinidae.